GUUAGGAAUUUUGGGCAAUGGGCGAAAGCCUGACCCAGCAACGCCGCGUGGGUGACGAAGCCUUUCGGGGUGUAAAGCCCUUUUCUCCGUGACGAAGAUGACGGUAGCGGAGGAAGAAGCCCCGGCUAACUACGUGCCAGCAGCCGCGGUAAUACGUAGGGGGCAAGCGUUGUCCGGAAUCAUUGGGCGUAAAGCGCGAGCAGGCGGCCUGCAGAGCCUGACGUGAAAGCUCCUGGCUCAACUGGGAGAGGUCGUUGGGGACCUGCAAGCUUGAGGCCGGUAGGGGGGCAUGGAAUUCCCGGUGUAGUGGUGGAAUGCGUAGAGAUCGGGAGGAACACCAGUGGCGAAGGCGGUGCCCUGGGCCGGACCUGACGCUGAGGCGCGAAGGCGUGGGGAGCGAUCCGGAUUAGAAACCCUUGUAGUCC
Molecule: ribosomal RNA, 425 nt
Filed under: uncultured bacterium
Lineage: Bacteria
Description: bacterial SSU rRNA
Rfam family: Bacterial small subunit ribosomal RNA
Source: RNAcentral